UACGUAGGGUGCGAGCGUUAAUCGGAUUUACUGGGCGUAAAGCGUGCGCAGGCGGCCCGUUAAGACAGGUGUGAAAUCCCUGGGCUCAACCUAGGAAUUGCGCUUGUGACUGGCAGGCUCGAGUACGGUAGAGGGGGGUGGAAUUCCUGGUGUAGCAGUGAAAUGCGUAGAGAUCAGGAGGAACACCGAUGGCGAAGGCAGCCCCCUGGGCCUGUACUGACGCUCAUGCACGAAAGCGUGGGGAGCAAACAGG
RNAcentral lists this ribosomal RNA (253 nucleotides) under uncultured microorganism. Its description in RNAcentral is "partial 16S ribosomal RNA". It matches the Rfam family "Bacterial small subunit ribosomal RNA", at positions 524 to 776 of the family's 1533-position model. The record is from RNAcentral.